This 1134-nucleotide ribosomal RNA is filed under the name Salmonella enterica. Its description in RNAcentral is "partial 23S ribosomal RNA". It matches the Rfam family "Bacterial large subunit ribosomal RNA", at positions 1173 to 2290 of the family's 2925-position model. Lineage: Bacteria; Pseudomonadati; Pseudomonadota; Gammaproteobacteria; Enterobacterales; Enterobacteriaceae. The record is from RNAcentral. RNAcentral also lists the same sequence under 1 other name.
UAACGGGGCUAAACCAUGCACCGAAGCUGCGGCAGCGACACUGUGUGUUGUUGGGUAGGGGAGCGUUCUGUAAGCCUGUGAAGGUGUGUCGUGAGGCAUGCUGGAGGUAUCAGAAGUGCGAAUGCUGACAUAAGUAACGAUAAAGCGGGUGAAAAGCCCGCUCGCCGGAAGACCAAGGGUUCCUGUCCAACGUUAAUCGGGGCAGGGUGAGUCGACCCCUAAGGCGAGGCCGAAAGGCGUAGUCGAUGGGAAACGGGUUAAUAUUCCCGUACUUGGUGUUACUGCGAAGGGGGGACGGAGAAGGCUAUGUUGGCCGGGCGACGGUUGUCCCGGUUUAAGCGUGUAGGUGUGUGUUCCAGGUAAAUCCGGUUCACUUUAACACUGAGGCGUGACGACGAGGCACUACGGUGCUGAAGCAACAAAUGCCCUGCUUCCAGGAAAAGCCUCUAAGCAUCAGGUAACAUCAAAUCGUACCCCAAACCGACACAGGUGGUCAGGUAGAGAAUACCAAGGCGCUUGAGAGAACUCGGGUGAAGGAACUAGGCAAAAUGGUGCCGUAACUUCGGGAGAAGGCACGCUGACACGUAGGUGAAGUGAUUUACUCAUGGAGCUGAAGUCAGUCGAAGAUACCAGCUGGCUGCAACUGUUUAUUAAAAACACAGCACUGUGCAAACACGAAAGUGGACGUAUACGGUGUGACGCCUGCCCGGUGCCGGAAGGUUAAUUGAUGGGGUCAGCGCAAGCGAAGCUCCUGAUCGAAGCCCCGGUAAACGGCGGCCGUAACUAUAACGGUCCUAAGGUAGCGAAAUUCCUUGUCGGGUAAGUUCCGACCUGCACGAAUGGCGUAAUGAUGGCCAGGCUGUCUCCACCCGAGACUCAGUGAAAUUGAACUCGCUGUGAAGAUGCAGUGUACCCGCGGCAAGACGGAAAGACCCCGUGAACCUUUACUAUAGCUUGACACUGAACAUUGAGCCUUGAUGUGUAGGAUAGGUGGGAGGCUUUGAAGUGUGGACGCCAGUCUGCAUGGAGCCGACCUUGAAAUACCACCCUUUAAUGUUUGAUGUUCUAACGUGGACCCGUUACCCGGGUUGCGGACAGUGUCUGGUGGGUAGUUUGACUGGGGCGGUCUCCUCC